AUUGAACGCUGGCGGCACGCCUAACACAUGCAAGUCGAGCGGUAACAGGAUAUGUAGCAAUACAUGUUGCUGACGAGCGGCGGACGGGUGAGGAACACGUAGGGACCUGCCCAGAAGAGGGGGAUAACCAAGGGAAACUUUGGCUAAUACCGCGUAAAACUCGGAAGAGGAAAGCUGCCGCGAGGUGGCGCUUCUGGAGGGGCCUGCGUCCGAUUAGCUAGUUGGUAGGGUAAAGGCCUACCAAGGCGAUGAUCGGUAACUGGUCUGAGAGGACGGCCAGUCACACUGGGACUGAGACACGGCCCAGACUCCUACGGGAGGCAGCAGUGGGGAAUAUUGGACAAUGGGGGCAACCCUGAUCCAGCGAUGCCGCGUGAGUGAAGAAGGCCUUCGGGUCGUAAAGCUCUUUAGGUUGGGACGAAGUGUGGAGGAGGAUAAUGCCUUUACAUUGACGGUACUAACAGAAUAAGCACCGGCAAACUCUGUGCCAGCAGCCGCCGUAA
This 503-nucleotide ribosomal RNA is filed under the name uncultured bacterium. RNAcentral's name for it is "partial 16S ribosomal RNA". It matches the Rfam family "Bacterial small subunit ribosomal RNA", at positions 29 to 523 of the family's 1533-position model. The record is from RNAcentral.